AAUCUAUUGUGCUCGGACGACGCGCGGCGU
RNAcentral lists this small RNA (30 nucleotides) under Bombyx mori (domestic silkworm). RNAcentral's name for it is "ovarian small RNA-2475". Lineage: Eukaryota; Metazoa; Arthropoda; Insecta; Lepidoptera; Bombycidae. The record is from RNAcentral.